Molecule: long non-coding RNA, 254 nt
Filed under: Canis lupus dingo (dingo)
Lineage: Eukaryota; Metazoa; Chordata; Mammalia; Carnivora; Canidae
Description: lncRNA (ENSCAFG00020019834.1)
Source: RNAcentral
CCCGGCGCUCGGCGCUCGGGGAGGGAUUUUCUAGUGUUUGGAAUUUCAGAGCGUGGAAGGAGGUACCGGCCCUUGAGGCCUCUAACCCUGGCUCCUGCAACGGGAGUACUUGACAAGAAGGGAGAUUGGCGUCGAUGUCAGCUAUGGUAAGACCUGCUAAUCUAAGGUGCCCCCGUUGUAAUAAUGUAACCUAAGGGUGCCCAGCAACUCUGAGAGCAAAGGGUGUUUUAUUUUUUCACAACUUCUUCUUUUGA